GCCAGACUCCUACGGGAGGCAGCAGUGAGGAAUAUUGGUCAAUGGGCGAGAGCCUGAACCAGCCAAGUCGCGUGAAGGAUGACGGCCCUACGGGUUGUAAACUUCUUUUGUCAGGGAGCAACGCCGGCUACGUGUAGCCGGACUGAGAGUACCUGAAGAAAAAGCAUCGGCUAACUCCGUGCCAGCAGCCGCGGUAAUACGGAGGAUGCGAGCGUUAUCCGGAUUUAUUGGGUUUAAAGGGUGCGUAGGCGGAAGGCCAAGUCGGCGGUAAAAUCGCGGGGCUCAACCUCGCUCCGCCGUUGAAACUGGCGUUCUUGAGUGGGCGAGAAGUAUGCGGAAUGCGUGGUGUAGCGGUGAAAUGCAUAGAUAUCACGCAGAACUCCGAUUGCGAAGGCAGCGUACCGGCGCCCAACUGACGCUGAAGCACGAAGGCGUGGGUAUCGACCAGGAUUAGAUACCCGGGUACC
This 467-nucleotide ribosomal RNA is filed under the name uncultured bacterium. RNAcentral's name for it is "bacterial SSU rRNA". It matches the Rfam family "Bacterial small subunit ribosomal RNA", at positions 330 to 796 of the family's 1533-position model. The record is from RNAcentral.